RNAcentral lists this ribosomal RNA (94 nucleotides) under uncultured bacterium. RNAcentral describes it as "partial 16S ribosomal RNA". It matches the Rfam family "Bacterial small subunit ribosomal RNA", at positions 356 to 449 of the family's 1533-position model. The record is from RNAcentral.
GGGAAUUUUUCCGCAAUGGGCGAAAGCCUGACGGAGCAAUACCGCGUGAGGGAUGACGGCCUAUGGGUUGUAAACCUCUUUUUUCAGGGAGGAA